This 978-nucleotide ribosomal RNA is filed under the name Triticum aestivum (bread wheat). RNAcentral's name for it is "partial small subunit ribosomal RNA". The record is from RNAcentral. Lineage: Eukaryota; Viridiplantae; Streptophyta; Magnoliopsida; Poales; Poaceae.
GCUCUAAUCAACGUGGGAGUCUCUUGGAUGGGAUAAUGGAAAUUUUGUUUUCAGCCCAGAAAGCUUGGGCCGUUCCACCAAAACAGAUGGUGUCCGGGUCCCACCCUAUAUUUUCCUCAUCUCUUCGUCGGCCUCCCACUUUUCUUCCAGCCCGCCGCCGUCGCCAUUGAUGCCCGCGCGCCGUCCCCAAAAUCCCCCGUCCACACAUAGAUCGGCGCCCGACGCUCAGACGUCCGUCCCCGAUCUCCCCGCAUCCGUUCAGAUCUGCUCGUGCCGGCCUCCGUAGUGGCUUUAGCUUCCAGCUGGAUGCCGCGCGACCUGUCAAGGUCGCCGCCGCGCCGGCGCCGGCCGUCGCCAUCCCCGCUUCACCGCGGACCAGGCUACAGGGAGCGCGUGCCCAGCCGCAGCAGGUCCCCUUAUCGCCCCUCCUAUAGGUGAUCUCCCAUGUCACACGCGACCGCGAUCUGGCGCGCCUUUACUUUUUUAGCAUCUUCGCCGUGUCUGCGUGUCAUGUGUAUAUGCCCUGUACAAAGAGUAGGAAGAUUCUAGGGGAUGAUUAUUUUUCCACUUUAGUUGUUGUUAUUAUGUCGGGUGUAUUCUGAAUGCAAACUCGCCAAAUGGAAUGAUUCUUUUGGGUCUUCUCAUGGUUGUUUGGACCAGUGGAAGUUGGUCAGUAAGUGAUUCUUAGUUAGCUCAUGUGAAUAUGUGAUUGUUCUAUGAUGUAUGCAACAUUCACGCUGGUAAGGAGCAAGAUUACUAGAUAAUGGCAUUCCUGUUUUACAUCAAAUUUAAUAUGGAUUGUAUAAAAGUUGCUUGCCUAUGUUCACGGUACUACUCAGACCCUGUUUGGAAGAAGAAAAAUAAAUCUGAAACAAGGUUUAUCCAGGAACGGAAUAUCGGUAUCUAUUAAGAGGUGUUUGUAACCCUUUUCACCAUGCCAUGAGGUCAGACUGAGGGUGGAGAGCAAGGUAGUGUUGU